GGCUAUCAUGAAUAUAUUUAUAGUCUAGCCUGCUCACUGAUAUAGAAUAUUAAAUAGCCGCGGUAUCUUGACCGUGCAAAGGUAGCAUAAUCAUUAGUUUUUUAAUUGAAAACUCGUAUGAAUGGUUGGACAAGGAAGAAACUGUCUCGUCUGUUUAUAUUGAAUUUAACUUUUAAGUGAAAAGGCUUAAAUUUUCUAGAGGGACGAUAAGACCCUAUAAAGCUUUAUAAGUUUAAAAAUUUUACCUAUUUUUAUAUAAAGGUAGAUUUUGGAAUAAUUUAUUUGGUUGGGGCGACAAUGGUAUAAUUAAAAUAACUGCUAUAAAAUAUUAACAAAUAUAUUUGAAUAACAUAAAUAAUUGAUCCUUUAUAAAGAUUCUAAGAUCAAGUUACUUUAGGGAUAACAGCGUUAUUUUUCCUGAGAGUUCUUAUCAAAGGAAAAGUUUGCGACCUCGAUGUUGAAUUAAAAUGUCUUUAUAGUGCAGCAGCUAUAAAAGAAGGUCUGUUCGACCUUUAAUAUUUUACAUGAUUUGAGUUCAGACCGGCGGGAGCCAGG
Molecule: ribosomal RNA, 555 nt
Filed under: Charybdis erythrodactyla
Lineage: Eukaryota; Metazoa; Arthropoda; Malacostraca; Decapoda; Portunidae
Description: partial 16S ribosomal RNA
Rfam family: Bacterial large subunit ribosomal RNA
Source: RNAcentral